UUUAUUUAAUAAAUCUUCAAAAUUUUACUUCUGUUUGCAAACUAAUGAGCAAUUAUUAAAAAAAAAUUAAUUUCAUACAGAUCCCUGCAAACAUAAUGAAUUACAAAUAUAUCCCUACAGAAUUCACUUUUUAUAUAUUGUUCUUGCAAAAGUUCUGAUAUUUUUAAAUAUAUCCAUACCGUUAGAAUCCGUUAAAAAAAGCUUAGUUAACUAUUAUUAAAAUACUUAACUCUAAUUAGUUAAUGAAGUGAAUAGACCUUUUUAUUUCUUUUCAAUUAACGGUUGAAAUUUUUCAAGAAACAUAUUUAUGAUGACAAAGAAAUUAAUUUAUUUAUAAAAUAAAUAGUGAUUUAACGGUAACAAAUAAGAAGGACAUAUUUGAAAAUAUUAAAAUUUUUACAAAAAUAAUAUAUAAAAAUAUAUUUAUAAUUUAUUAUAUAUUUAUAGAAAUAUGUAUAAAAUUAAUCCUAUUUAAAAUUGCU
This 482-nucleotide long non-coding RNA is filed under the name Ananas comosus (pineapple). RNAcentral describes it as "long non-coding RNA (ACOM_LNC019387)". The record is from RNAcentral. Lineage: Eukaryota; Viridiplantae; Streptophyta; Magnoliopsida; Poales; Bromeliaceae.